AUUGUAUGCUUCAAUAAGCUUAGGCGUGAAGCGCCUGCAUGGUGGGCACCAUGAGGCCGAGAAGUAGAGGGCAACGGUGCUUGCCUCGAUGCUGCUGAUCUUCACCUGCAGGACAAUAAGGCCUUCAGGUAAGAGACGCAGUUGUUUGGGACUUCCUGUUGAUCUCAUCUUAUCACUACCAAUAAGAUCAUCACCAAAUCAAUAUCACACAAGCAUGGGACGUCGGCUGUAAUGGGAUCGAGACGAUGCUCCAGCUCUCCCCCCCACACCCCCGGCUGCUACUUCGCAAGUGUCGGUCUUGCCACAACAGAUGGGAUUUUGGCAAUCACGCUUCAAUCUGUCUCUACUUUAACAUGAGGUGCCCGUAAUAACUAAGCCAAGCCGGUUGGCCACUUGCGAGCGAUAAGUAGAGGGAGGCCAGCCACUUGUGACCCUUAUCCUCUUGUCUCCCCUGUCUCUCUCUCUCUCCACUCGCCUCCCGGCCAUAGAGGAGGCGAAGCGGCUGGACUGAUCUGCGGCGACGGAGGAGGUGGAGAGCGGAUCCAGCGGUGACGGUAGCUUCCCGCGUCGGAUUCGGCGGCGACCACAGCAGAUCCUCGGGCCACGCUGCUGCCGAUGGAUCCCUCAAGUCCCCUGGCUUGGUGGUGCCCGCAUCGCCGCAGCCCGCGCCUCGUCAGGGCGGCAUCCGGUGUCAUGACCUCGCCCCACCCCGACAUCGUCUGCUCCUGCUAGGACUGAUGGGGCUUCAUCUGGCUCUGGUUCCGGAUCAUCCUAGGAAGAGGAAGGGGAGGGCCCAAGCUGUUCUCGUCCCUGUUGCUUCUCCGACCAGUGGUUGUUGGUUGGGUCGAUGAAGCCAGUGGCCGAGAAGGAUGUUCUUAGAUGUUUGUUCAACCUGUUUAUGUAUUCUUGGAUGUUCUUGAUGUUUCCAGAUACCGAUUAAUAUUGAUGGAAUAUAGUUGGGGUGAAGGGAAGUUGCUCGAUGAAAUCGAGCCACCUUUUUUAAGUUCCUGUAACCUCAAUAGUGCCGGUUCCUAGACCACCUCAAAGGUGUCGUCUACUGGUGCCUGUUGUAAAAUCCGGCACCCAUGAGGGUUUCCCAACCGACAUAUAUAGUUAUUUCUGUA
This is a non-coding RNA of Oryza sativa Japonica Group (Japanese rice), 1124 nucleotides long. The record is from RefSeq and is a predicted model, not a curated record. NCBI's taxonomy places the organism in Eukaryota, Viridiplantae, Streptophyta, Magnoliopsida, Poales, Poaceae.